UAGGGAAUCUUCGGCAAUGGACGGAAGUCUGACCGAGCAACGCCGCGUGAGUGAAGAAGGUUUUCGGAUCGUAAAGCUCUGUUGUAAGAGAAGAACGAGUGUGAGAGUGGAAAGUUCACACUGUGACGGUAUCUUACCAGAAAGGGACGGCUAACUACGUGCCAGCAGCCGCGGUAAUACGUAGGUCCCGAGCGUUGUCCGGAUUUAUUGGGCGUAAAGCGAGCGCAGGCGGUUAGAUAAGUCCGAAGUUAAAGGCUGUGGCUUAACCAUAGUACGCUUUGGAAACUGUUUAACUUGAGUGCAAGAGGGGAGAGUGGAAUUCCAUGUGUAGCGGUGAAAUGCGUAGAUAUAUGGAGGAACACCGGUGGCGAAAGCGGCUCUCUGGCUUGUAACUGACGCUGAGGCUUGAAAGCGUGGGGAGCAAACAGGAUUAGAUACCCUGGUAGUCCACGCCGUAAACGAUGAGUGCUAGGUGUUAGACCCUUUCCGGGGUUUAGUGCCGCAGCUAACGCAUUAAGCACUCCGCCUGGGGAGUACGACCGCAAGGUUG
RNAcentral lists this ribosomal RNA (550 nucleotides) under uncultured bacterium. Its description in RNAcentral is "bacterial SSU rRNA". It matches the Rfam family "Bacterial small subunit ribosomal RNA", at positions 355 to 896 of the family's 1533-position model. The record is from RNAcentral.